This 1179-nucleotide ribosomal RNA is filed under the name Micrococcus sp. RNAcentral describes it as "bacterial SSU rRNA". It matches the Rfam family "Bacterial small subunit ribosomal RNA", at positions 137 to 1328 of the family's 1533-position model. Lineage: Bacteria; Bacillati; Actinomycetota; Actinomycetes; Micrococcales; Micrococcaceae. The record is from RNAcentral.
UCUGGGAUAAGCCUGGGAAACUGGGUCUAAUACCGGAUAGGAGCGUCCACCGCAUGGUGGGUGUUGGAAAGAUUUAUCGGUUUUGGAUGGACUCGCGGCCUAUCAGCUUGUUGGUGAGGUAAUGGCUCACCAAGGCGACGACGGGUAGCCGGCCUGAGAGGGUGACCGGCCACACUGGGACUGAGACACGGCCCAGACUCCUACGGGAGGCAGCAGUGGGGAAUAUUGCACAAUGGGCGAAAGCCUGAUGCAGCGACGCCGCGUGAGGGAUGACGGCCUUCGGGUUGUAAACCUCUUUCAGUAGGGAAGAAGCGAAAGUGACGGUACCUGCAGAAGAAGCACCGGCUAACUACGUGCCAGCAGCCGCGGUAAUACGUAGGGUGCGAGCGUUAUCCGGAAUUAUUGGGCGUAAAGAGCUCGUAGGCGGUUUGUCGCGUCUGUCGUGAAAGUCCGGGGCUUAACCCCGGAUCUGCGGUGGGUACGGGCAGACUAGAGUGCAGUAGGGGAGACUGGAAUUCCUGGUGUAGCGGUGGAAUGCGCAGAUAUCAGGAGGAACACCGAUGGCGAAGGCAGGUCUCUGGGCUGUAACUGACGCUGAGGAGCGAAAGCAUGGGGAGCGAACAGGAUUAGAUACCCUGGUAGUCCAUGCCGUAAACGUUGGGCACUAGGUGUGGGGACCAUUCCACGGUUUCCGCGCCGCAGCUAACGCAUUAAGUGCCCCGCCUGGGGAGUACGGCCGCAAGGCUAAAACUCAAAGGAAUUGACGGGGGCCCGCACAAGCGGCGGAGCAUGCGGAUUAAUUCGAUGCAACGCGAAGAACCUUACCAAGGCUUGACAUGUUCUCGAUCGCCGUAGAGAUACGGUUUCCCCUUUGGGGCGGGUUCACAGGUGGUGCAUGGUUGUCGUCAGCUCGUGUCGUGAGAUGUUGGGUUAAGUCCCGCAACGAGCGCAACCCUCGUUCCAUGUUGCCAGCACGUAAUGGUGGGGACUCAUGGGAGACUGCCGGGGUCAACUCGGAGGAAGGUGAGGACGACGUCAAAUCAUCAUGCCCCUUAUGUCUUGGGCUUCACGCAUGCUACAAUGGCCGGUACAAUGGGUUGCGAUACUGUGAGGUGGAGCUAAUCCCAAAAAGCCGGUCUCAGUUCGGAUUGGGGUCUGCAACUCGACCCCAUGAAGUCG